Molecule: long non-coding RNA, 307 nt
Organism: Saccostrea cuccullata (small rock oyster)
Lineage: Eukaryota; Metazoa; Mollusca; Bivalvia; Ostreida; Ostreidae
Exons: 2
Source: RefSeq, a predicted model, not a curated record
GACUAUUCAUAAAAGCAGUUGACACAUAAAUUAACGUAUUUCUUUGUGUUGUACUCAAAAUGACAAAUUUAUAAUUGUAUAGUAUCUAACAAUAAAUGAUGGUAUAUAUAUAAAAUAUCACAGUCAAUUAUUAGCAGCUAUAGAAUAUCACAAUUCUCAAACCAUUGCAUACAAACAAAUCAAGCAGUUGUUGUAUUUAGAUGAAACUACAGGACUUAUUCUACCUAAGGAGGUAUUCAACAUUUAACAAAUGCUUCAGAAAUAAAUAUUUUUUCUUCAAAUAUGAAAAUCUUUCCCAUACACAUGA